CCUACGGGAGGCAGCAGUGAGGAAUAUUGGUCAAUGGACGAGAGUCUGAACCAGCCAAGUAGCGUGAAGGAUGACUGCCCUAUGGGUUGUAAACUUCUUUUAUAUGGGAAUAAAAUGUUCCACGUGUGGGAUUUUGUAUGUACCAUAUGAAUAAGGAUCGGCUAACUCCGUGCCAGCAGCCGCGGUAAUACGGAGGAUCCGAGCGUUAUCCGGAUUUAUUGGGUUUAAAGGGGGCGUAGGUGGAUUGUUAAGUCAGUUGUGAAAGUUUGCGGCUCAACCGUAAAAUUGCAGUUGAAACUGGCAGUCUUGAGUACAGGAGAGGUGGGCGGAAUGCGUGGUGUAGCGGUGAAAUGCUUAGAUAUCACGAAGAACUCCGAUUGCGAAGGCAGUUCACUGGACUGCAACUGACACUGAGGCUCGAAAGUGUGGGUAUCAAACAGGAUUAGAUACCCGGGUAGUC
RNAcentral lists this ribosomal RNA (460 nucleotides) under uncultured bacterium. RNAcentral's name for it is "partial 16S ribosomal RNA". It matches the Rfam family "Bacterial small subunit ribosomal RNA", at positions 338 to 795 of the family's 1533-position model. The record is from RNAcentral.